UACCAGCACCCCGAGUGGUCGGGACGUUUAUUGGGCCUAAAGCAUCCGUAGCCGGUUCUACAAGUCUUCCGUUAAAUCCACCUGCUUAACAGAUGGGCUGCGGAAGAUACUAUAGAGCUAGGAGGCGGGAGUGGCAAGCGGUACUCGAUGGGUAGGGGUAAAAUCCGUUGAUCCAUUGAAGACCACCAGUGGCGAAGGCGGCUUGCCAGAACGCGCUCGACGGUGAGGGAUGAAAGCUGGGGGAGCAAACCGG
Molecule: ribosomal RNA, 253 nt
Filed under: uncultured bacterium
Lineage: Bacteria
Description: partial 16S ribosomal RNA
Rfam family: Archaeal small subunit ribosomal RNA
Source: RNAcentral